AUUGAACGCUGGCGGAAUGCUUUACACAUGCAAGUCGAGCGGCAGCACGGGGGCAACCCUGGUGGCGAGCGGCGAACGGGUGAGUAACACAUCGGAACGUACCCUGUCGUGGGGGAUAACGAGUCGAAAGAUUCGCUAAUACCGCAUACGACCCGGGGGUGAAAGCGGGGGAUCGCAAGACCUCGCGCGACUGGAGCGGCCGAUGGCGGAUUAGCUAGUUGGUGGGGUAAAGGCCCACCAAGGCGACGAUCCGUAGCGGGUCUGAGAGGACGGCCCGCCACACUGGGACUGAGACACGGCCCAGACUCCUACGGGAGGCAGCAGUGGGGAAUUUUGGACAAUGGGGGGCAACCCUGAUCCAGCCAUUCCGCGUGAGUGAAGAAGGCCUCGGUU
This 393-nucleotide ribosomal RNA is filed under the name uncultured bacterium. RNAcentral describes it as "bacterial SSU rRNA". It matches the Rfam family "Bacterial small subunit ribosomal RNA", at positions 28 to 424 of the family's 1533-position model. The record is from RNAcentral.